Long non-coding RNA from Chinchilla lanigera (long-tailed chinchilla), 2108 nucleotides. Lineage: Eukaryota; Metazoa; Chordata; Mammalia; Rodentia; Chinchillidae. The record is from Ensembl.
CACAGUCUUAACUGGCCUUCUCAGAUGAAGGCAGCAGCCUCGCCGCUAUGACGGAGGCUGGGUAGGGGUGGGCUUGGAUCAGCCUAAAGGAAGAGCAACCUGCUGUCUGGGUUCUGUUUACACAGGGUUUUCUUCAAAGCACUCCACCUGUUUUUGCAAAUAACUCUUACAAGCCUUUCUGAGCAAGUGGAGAAGAGACAAGGCACACAACGGCAACAGAUGCUGUCCAGCCUGAGGAGCUGACAAGCGUCCGGCCCUGUCGGCUCAUGUGGCUGCUGGAGGCCAACACUCGCAGGGCACGCCUCCGCGAUUUGUCUGCACGAAGGAGCAUGGCACCUCGCAGAUGCUCUAUCCUCGCCUGCCUUUGGCCCCACCAGCAAGGCCAUGAAGCUCCUUCCAAGUGCCAGCCUGUGCUGCACUCCUCAACCUGGCCACACAAAGAUUCCCCAGAUGGCUCUGCAGAAUGGAAACUGGAAACUAUCCUGUGUGGAGUCUGAAUUCAGCCAAAAAAGAUGGGAUAACAGUUUUCAUCUGGAUCCAACUAUUGACUUCCCCAGGCAGUUCUCGGACAAAUAGUCUGCACAGAACAUGCCAGGUCUUGUCUGGCUAUGGACAGCACCCCUGAGGCUCUAACUAAAUGACCAUCUGACUCCGGACCUCUAAAGGUCAGAUAAUUCCCAUACACCCCUGCUCUUCAAGCAGAGGGGUGCAUCUGAAUUGGGGAGGGGAAAUGGACUCUACCUGCAGAAACUUGGGUUCCAUGAAACAGGAUCAUUACCUGUUUCUCCACCCCCAUGUUCCAACCCCCUUAAUUAAAGGCAAGGACUGCAUUUAUAAGGAGAUAGGUGAUCUCAGUUGACCGCGGACCUUCAGCUGGCAGGUUUCAGCAAAAGAUCGGCAGACACCACAUGCUGCAGAACCAAGGAGAGCAAAGAGCACUUGCUCCUCCCCAUCGUCUCCAUCCCCUUCUUCACUGCAAUGGGGAGUCCUGUUCAGUUCUUACCAGCUGGGGAACAAGGCUGCCCCUGGAAUCCAGCAGGUGCAACUCACAGCCGGGUGAGUACACCAUCUGGCCAGGCUGUAGUGAUGUUCAACAUAUACCUGCUUCUCUGUGUUUGGCUCCCUGACAGAGAGAUUGUACUCUAUUAAAAGGAUGCCACUGUCCGUCCCAGUGAGGGGGCCAGGGUGGAUCCCUUUAGGUACAGCUUGGCUGCAGCAUGAAGCAAGUGAAGCAUUUACUCACGCUAGGGUUAGAUAACUUAAAAGAAGCUGCAGUGAUCUUGCACUAGAACAUUGUUUGUGGUACACACAAACAUGGUCAUGAUACUGCUUCUGCUGUCAGUAGCUGGCACUUCCCAGUACUGUCCUGAAAACAUCGAGCUACUGAUUUAUUAAUCCUCAUUACAACUUUAUCAGUGAGUACUAAAAUUAUGCCCACUUUAUUGAUAACUGAGGCACACCAAGGUUAAGUAGCUUGUCUGGGAUCACAUGAGAAGUGAGUAGAAGAGCUGAAAAGUGAACCCCACACUACUUCCAGAGCUCCCUGUGGCUUGAACAUGAAGACAGGGCACCAAGUGGGCCUGCAGUCCUGCAGAUCAGUGCUCAGGAGGGACCCAUUAGAUUGGGCAGAAGUGGUGACAAGGGCACCAUCUGCCUAACAGGAUGGUUAGGGUAGUCUGGGAAACAGGUUCAAGUAUUUUAUGACUAAUGUUAUAGAUACAUGAUUGGGUAAAUUAAAAGCACCACAGAGCAUUCUAGACAGGUGUGGCUGGUUCACAGAGAGGGAACCUAACAUCAGCCAUAGACCCCAGAGGGGCUGGGGGAACUUCAGCUGCUUCCCUUAAGCACAAGUCCUCGUAGCAGGAGAGAGAGGCUAGAACUAAGCUCCAGGCAUGCCCAUCAUCCAGCUGCUGCUGCUGUCCAGGCCCACUGGAGUGGCUUUGGGGGAUCCUUGGCCUUCUCUCUUUCCCUCAGCCAGAGACUGGACACCUGGCCAGCAGUUUCCUCCCAGGGUCCUUUUUCUGUGCCAGGAGUUGGAGCCACAUAGAACAAAAUAAAGCUGGCUGAUACACACGUGCAGUUGUCAUGUCUCUGUGUGUAACUCAAAA